Molecule: long non-coding RNA, 244 nt
Organism: Eurytemora carolleeae
Lineage: Eukaryota; Metazoa; Arthropoda; Copepoda; Calanoida; Temoridae
Exons: 3
Source: RefSeq, a predicted model, not a curated record
UUCCGAUUUUUGUAAGAAAAUGGAUUCACAUCUGUUUAUCUCUGAAUAUGAAUAAGAAUUCAGUGAUGGUGUACAUCAAUGGGAAAUCAGAUUUUGAGAAUGAAGCCACUUCAAGUAUCCUUCGUAAUCGUCUCUCCAACAAUACCCAGCUGCCAAUGGUAGUUCGCUUAGGACAUUACUUUUUUGACAAUAAGCCUCUGAUUGGAAUGUUGGCAUCUGUCAAUGUCUGGGACCGGGUGUUAAG